RNAcentral lists this ribosomal RNA (253 nucleotides) under uncultured bacterium. RNAcentral describes it as "partial 16S ribosomal RNA". It matches the Rfam family "Bacterial small subunit ribosomal RNA", at positions 524 to 776 of the family's 1533-position model. The record is from RNAcentral.
UACGUAGGGGGCAAGCGUUGCUCGGAAUUACUGGGCGUAAAGGGCGCGUAGGCGGCACGGCAAGUCAGGAGUGAAAGCCCUGGGCUCAACCCGGGAACUGCUUUUGAAACUGCCGAGCUAGAGUGCGGAAGGGGCAACUGGAAUUCCCAGUGUAGCGGUGAAAUGCGUAGAUAUUGGGAAGAACACCUGAGGCGAAGGCGGGUUGCUGGGCCGACACUGACGCUGAUGCGCGAAAGCCAGGGGAGCGAACGGG